AUGACCUUGAACCUGUCGAGAGUCAGCAACUUGAAGGUCACCAUGUACCCAAACCUUGAUCUGAUGGACGGCAGUGAAGGUGGCCUAACCCUUAUCGACGGUGACCCUCUCCCACAACUCCAAGAAUACACGGAGGAGGUGGCCCGGGUCGGCAUCGGCACCGUCCGGCGUGGGCCACGGGCCCGCUUCCAAGUGCGUCUACGCGUCGGCCACCCACGCCGGGUCAACUGCCGCUUCCACCACACCAACUCCCAGGGCCACGGCCAGGGCCAGGGAAGCCGCCCUUCUUCGCCCCCUUCACCGGCUGCGGCCAACGCGGUGCCGCGGCACCCGGCCUCGCCGUCCUCAUCCUCCGGCACCGUCGCGACCUAG
This 372-nucleotide ribosomal RNA is filed under the name Triticum aestivum (bread wheat). Its description in RNAcentral is "partial small subunit ribosomal RNA". The record is from RNAcentral. Lineage: Eukaryota; Viridiplantae; Streptophyta; Magnoliopsida; Poales; Poaceae.